RNAcentral lists this ribosomal RNA (587 nucleotides) under uncultured bacterium. RNAcentral describes it as "bacterial SSU rRNA". It matches the Rfam family "Bacterial small subunit ribosomal RNA", at positions 338 to 916 of the family's 1533-position model. The record is from RNAcentral.
CCUACGGGAGGCAGCAGUGAGGAAUAUUGGACAAUGGGCGCAACCCUGAUCCAGCCAUUCCGCGUGAGUGAAGAAGGCCUUCGGGUUGUAAAGCUCUUUCAGCAGGAACGAAACGGUGGCCCCUAAUACGGGUUACUAAUGACGGUACCUGAAGAAGAAGCACCGGCUAACUACGUGCCAGCAGCCGCGGUAAUACGUAGGGUGCGAGCGUUAAUCGGAAUUACUGGGCGUAAAGCGUGCGCAGGCGGUUAUGUAGGACAGGUGUGAAAUCCCCGGGCUUAACCUGGGAACUGCGCUUGUGACUGCAUAACUUGAGUGUGGCAGAGGGGGGUGGAAUUCCACGUGUAGCAGUGAAAUGCGUAGAGAUGUGGAGGAACACCGAUGGCGAAGGCAGCCCCCUGGGUCAACACUGACGCUCAUGCACGAAAGCGUGGGGAGCAAACAGGAUUAGAUACCCUGGUAGUCCACGCCCUAAACGAUGCGAACUAGGUGUUGGGGAAGGAGACUUUCUUAGUACCGCAGCUAACGCGUGAAGUUCGCCGCCUGGGGAGUACGGUCGCAAGAUUAAAACUCAAAGGAAUUGACGG